RNAcentral lists this ribosomal RNA (615 nucleotides) under Klebsiella sp. ICBR 199. Its description in RNAcentral is "bacterial SSU rRNA". It matches the Rfam family "Bacterial small subunit ribosomal RNA", at positions 150 to 754 of the family's 1533-position model. Lineage: Bacteria; Pseudomonadati; Pseudomonadota; Gammaproteobacteria; Enterobacterales; Enterobacteriaceae. The record is from RNAcentral.
CUGGAAACGGUAGCUAAUACCGCAUAACGUCGCAAGACCAAAGUGGGGGACCUUCGGGCCUCAUGCCAUCAGAUGUGCCCAGAUGGGAUUAGCUGGUAGGUGGGGUAACGGCUCACCUAGGCGACGAUCCCUAGCUGGUCUGAGAGGAUGACCAGCCACACUGGAACUGAGACACGGUCCAGACUCCUACGGGAGGCAGCAGUGGGGAAUAUUGCACAAUGGGCGCAAGCCUGAUGCAGCCAUGCCGCGUGUGUGAAGAAGGCCUUCGGGUUGUAAAGCACUUUCAGCGGGGAGGAAGGCGGUGAGGUUAAUAACCUCAUCGAUUGACGUUACCCGCAGAAGAAGCACCGGCUAACUCCGUGCCAGCAGCCGCGGUAAUACGGAGGGUGCAAGCGUUAAUCGGAAUUACUGGGCGUAAAGCGCACGCAGGCGGUCUGUCAAGUCGGAUGUGAWAUCCCCGGGCUCAACCUGGGAACUGCAUUCGAAACUGGCAGGCUAGAGUCUUGUASCAGGGRGGUAGAAUUCCAGGUAGUAGCGGYGAAAUGCGUAGAGAUCCUAGGAGGAAUACCGGUGGCGAAGGCCGGCCUCCUGGACGAAGACUGACGCUCAGGUAGC